This 684-nucleotide ribosomal RNA is filed under the name Triticum aestivum (bread wheat). RNAcentral describes it as "partial small subunit ribosomal RNA". Lineage: Eukaryota; Viridiplantae; Streptophyta; Magnoliopsida; Poales; Poaceae. The record is from RNAcentral.
AUGGGGAAGGGGAUCUUGCCUGUUGGCUGUUCACCAAAUAUGGAGAGUAUACGUAAGUGUGGCACCGGUCAGUGUUCUAAUAGUUGCGAGGAACAAUCUUGGAAAGCUUUGUGGUCGAUAAGGGUGCCCAAUAAAAUGAAGGUGGCGUUAUGGCGCUUUGCACAUGAUUGUCUCCCGUCCGGGGCUCAGUUGCAGCGCCGCCAUGUACCUGACUCGGAGUUAUGCUGCUUCUGUGGUCGGCUUGAAACUGUGGAACAUGCGAUCUUGUUCUGUCCACAUGCCAAGGUUGUGUGGGAUGCGAUCAAGAAUUGGUCAGACAUCAAGCUUAAUCGAUCCAGGUUUAACAACACCAAACUUUUGCUGUUUGAUUUUAUUUCUAAUUCCUCUAAUAGGGAAGCUAUUGUUCUGGCUGUGACCUUUUGGCAUAUUUGGGAGGCCCGUAAUUCUGUGAGGAAUAAUCCUGAAGCUCCACACCUUAGUCAUACGGUCAACAAAAUCAUAGCAUACUUAGAUUUGAUUAUGCAGCACCUCUACAGCUCUGUUCCUGCCAACAGGCGUGAGUCCUCUUUGUCAAGUUCCACUUGGACUCCGCCGCCGUCAAGUUCGAUUGUUAUCAAUUCAGAUGCUGCUGUUUUUUCAGAGACUAACAUGCCAGGUGCCGGUGUGGUUGCUUUUGACCAUUAG